Molecule: ribosomal RNA, 441 nt
Filed under: uncultured bacterium
Lineage: Bacteria
Description: partial 16S ribosomal RNA
Rfam family: Bacterial small subunit ribosomal RNA
Source: RNAcentral
CCUACGGGAGGCAGCAGUGGGGAAUAUUGCACAAUGGGGGAAACCCUGAUGCAGCGACGCCGCGUGAGUGAAGAAGUAUUUCGGUAUGUAAAGCUCUAUCAGCAGGGAAGAAGAAAGACGGUACCUGACUAAGAAGCCCCGGCUCACUACGUGCCAGCAGCCGCGGUAAUACGUAGGGGGCAAGCGUUAUCCGGAUUUACUGGGUGUAAAGGGAGCGUAGACGGCUGUGCAAGUCUGAAGUGAAAGCCCAGGGCUCAACCCUGGGACUGCUUUGGAAACUGUGGAGCUAGAGUACAGGAGGGGCAGGCGGAAGUCCUGGUGUAGCGGUGAAAUGCGUAGAUAUCAGGAGGAACACCGGCGGCGAAGGCGGCCUGCUGGACUGAAACUGACGUUGAGGCUCGAAAGCGUGGGGAGCAAACAGGAUUAGAUACCCCUGUAGUC